RNAcentral lists this ribosomal RNA (1998 nucleotides) under human gut metagenome. RNAcentral describes it as "bacterial LSU rRNA". It matches the Rfam family "Bacterial large subunit ribosomal RNA", at positions 3 to 2011 of the family's 2925-position model. The record is from RNAcentral.
UUAAGUAAGAAAGAGCGUAUGGCGAAUGCCUAGGCACAAAGAGGCGAAGAAGGACGCAGCAAACGGCGAAACGCGACGGCGAGCAGUAAGCAGGCAAGGACCCGUCGAUGUCCGAAUGGGGGAACCCGGCAUCCGUAAUGGGAUGUCAGCGCAUGAUGAAUAAAUAGUGAUGCGUGGCGAGACGCAGGGAACUGAAACAUCUCAGUACCUGCAGGAGAAGAAAGUAAAGAACGAUUCCGUAAGUAGCGGCGAGCGAAAGCGGAGGAGCCCAAACCAUCGCAAAGAUGGGGUUAUAGGGCUGUCAGCGAAGCAGACAUGACAUGAUAGGAGAAGCUUCUGGGAAGGAGCGACGAAGAGGGUGACAUUCCCGUAUCCGAAAUCGUGAAGUGAUGCGAGACAGUACCUGAGUACGUCGGGGCACGUGGAAUCCUGACGGAAUUAUCGAGGACCAUCUCGAAAGGCUAAAUACUCCUUUGUGACCGAUAGUGAACCAGUACCGUGAGGGAAAGGUGAAAAGAACCCCGGGAGGGGAGUGAAAGAGAACCUGAAACCAUAUGCUUACAAGAAGUCAGAGCCCGUUAAGGGGUGAUGGCGUGCCUUUUGUAGAAUGAGCCGGCGAGUUAUGAUAUGCAGCGAGGUUAAGCAGGAGAUGCGGAGCCGAAGCGAAAGCGAGUCUGAAUAGGGCGAGAGUUGUAUGUCAUAGACCCGAAACCGAGUGAUCUAGCCAUGAUCAGGUUGAAGUUGGGGUAAAACCCGAUGGAGGACCGAACCGACCCCCGUUGAAACGUUGGCGGAUGAAUUGUGGCUAGGGGUGAAAUUCCAAACGAACUCGGAGAUAGCUGGUUCUCCCCGAAAUAGCUUUAGGGCUAGCGUCAGAGUGAAAGUUAUGUGAAGGUAGAGCACUGAAUAUGUGAUGGCCUCAUCCCGAGGUACUGAAUAUAAUCAAACUCCGAAUGUCACAGGAACAUAUCUGGCAGUCAGACUGCGGGUGAUAAGGUCCGUAGUCAAAAGGGAAACAGCCCAGACCAUCAGCUAAGGUCCCAAAAUAUAUGCUAAGUGGAAAAGGAUGUGGAGAUGUCCAGACAACCAGGAGGUUGGCUCAGAAGCAGCCACCCUUUAAAGAGUGCGUAACAGCUCACUGGUCGAAUGACUCUGCGCCGAAAAUUUACCGGGGCUAAGCAUAAUACCGAAGCUAUGGAUUUAUACGACAAGUAUAAGUGGUAGGGGAGCGUUCCUGUCAGCGAGGAAGCAUGACCGCAAGGACAUGUGGAGCGGCAGGAAGAGAGAAUGCCGGUGUGAGUAGCGGAACGUGGGUGAGAAUCCCACGCACCGAAUACCCAAGGUUUCCAGAGGAAGGUUCGUCCGCUCUGGGUAAGUCGGGACCUAAGGCGAGGCCGAAAGGCGUAGUCGAUGGACAACGGGUGGAGAUUCCCGUACCUGAUGAAGAGGCAAUGGAGUGACGGAGCAGGCUAGGCGAUCCAGCUGCUGGAAUAGCUGGUGCAAGCGAGGUAGGGGACAUCCAGGCAAAUCCGGAUGUUGAAACCCGAAGGCGUGACGCGUAUGGAACAUUACGAUAAGUACAGAAGUCGCCGAAGCAAGCUUCCAAGAAAAGCUUCUAGCAAUCAACUCUUUGUCAGCCCGUACCGAAAAUGGACACACAUGGGUGAGGAGAGAAUCCUAAGGUGAGCGAGAGAACUAUAGCUAAGGAACUCUGCAAAAUGACUCCGUAACUUCGGGAGAAGGAGUGCUCAUUGAGAGAUGAGCCGCAGUAAAACGGCCCAAGCGACUGUUUACCAAAAACACAGCUCUCUGCCAAGACGCAAGUCGAAGUAUAGGGGGUGACGCCUGCCCGGUGCUGGAAGGUUAAGAGGAGUGGUCAGCGCAAGCGAAGCCAUGAAUUGAAGCCCCAGUAAACGGCGGCCGUAACUAUAACGGUCCUAAGGUAGCGAAAUUCCUUGUCAGGUAAGUUCUGACCCGCACGAAAGGCGUAACGAUUUG